This 460-nucleotide ribosomal RNA is filed under the name uncultured bacterium. RNAcentral describes it as "partial 16S ribosomal RNA". It matches the Rfam family "Bacterial small subunit ribosomal RNA", at positions 338 to 795 of the family's 1533-position model. The record is from RNAcentral.
CCUACGGGUGGCAGCAGUGAGGAAUAUUGGUCAAUGGACGAGAGUCUGAACCAGCCAAGUCGCGUGAAGGAUGACUGCCCUAUGGGUUGUAAACUUCUUUUAUAUGGGAGUAAAAUGUUCCACGUGUGGCUUUUUGUAUGUACCAUAUGAAUAAGGAUCGGCUAACUCCGUGCCAGCAGCCGCGGUAAUACGGAGGAUCCGAGCGUUAUCCGGAUUUAUUGGGUUUAAAGGGAGCGUAGGUGGAUUGUUAAGUCAGUUGUGAAAGUUUGCGGCUCAACCGUAAAACUGCAGUUGAAACUGGCAGUCUUGAGUACAGUAGAGGUGGGCGGAAUGCGUGGUGUAGCGGUGAAAUGCUUAGAGAUCACGAAGAACACCGAUUGCGAAGGCAGCUCACUGGACUGCAACUGACACUGAGGCUCGAAAGUGUGGGUAUCAAACAGGAUUAGAUACCCCAGUAGUC